AAAUGACAGAGUGGUCGAAUGUGUCAUACUUGAAAUAUGAUGUGCCUUCUCGGUACCAUAGGUUCGAAUCCUAUUUUAUCCG
Molecule: non-coding RNA, 82 nt
Organism: Microbotryomycetes sp. JL201
Lineage: Eukaryota; Fungi; Basidiomycota; Microbotryomycetes
Source: the annotation of a GenBank genome assembly